Molecule: ribosomal RNA, 415 nt
Filed under: Acrospermum adeanum
Lineage: Eukaryota; Fungi; Ascomycota; Dothideomycetes; Acrospermales; Acrospermaceae
Description: SSU rRNA
Rfam family: Bacterial small subunit ribosomal RNA
Source: RNAcentral
CUAGACUGUAUAUUGCUUAAGGGACGUAGAUGACUAGAGUUUAAUGUAAAAGAAUGACCAAUUGAAGUAAAGAUAAAAUGUGGUAAUCUCAAUUAGACAGGUAAUGGCAAAGGCUAUUCUUUAUGUAAAAACUGACGUUGAGGGACGAAGGCAACGUGUUACGAAGAGGAUUAGAGACCCUCCUAGUCUUUGCAGACAAUUAUGAGUGUUAUAUAUAAAUGAAAGUGUAAGCACUCCACCUCAAGAGUAAUGUGGCAACACAGGAACUGAAAUCAUUAGACCGUUUCUGAAACCAGUAGUGAAGUAUGUUAUUUAAUUCGAUGACCCUCGAAUAACCUUACCACACAAGCGUUGCACGGCUGUCUUCAGUUAAUGUUGUGAAAGUUGGUUAGAUCCAGUUAAUUAGCGUAAACCC